Molecule: ribosomal RNA, 248 nt
Filed under: uncultured Anaerolineaceae bacterium
Lineage: Bacteria; Bacillati; Chloroflexota; Anaerolineae; Anaerolineales; Anaerolineaceae
Description: partial 16S ribosomal RNA
Rfam family: Bacterial small subunit ribosomal RNA
Source: RNAcentral
CUAGCCCUAAACGAUGUUGACUUGGCGUCGGUGGCUUAAUCGCCAUCGGUGUCGAAGCUUACGCGAUAAGUCAACCGCCUGAGGACUACGGCCGCAAGGUUAAAACUUAAAGGAAUUGACGGGUCCCCGCACAAGCAGCGGAGCGUGUGGUUUAAUUCGUUGCUACACGAAGAACCUUACCUGGGUUUGACAUAGUGGUGGUAGGGAAGCGAAAGCGGACCGACCCUUCGGGGAGCCAUUACAGGUGU